CCCUCUGGACUGAGAUACCCUCGGGAAACUGAGGCAAUCUCGGAUACUGCUUCCGUGUUGGAACACAGGAAGCUGGAAACGGUCCGCCGCCGGAGGACGUGACUGCGGCUGAUUAGGUAGACGGUGGGGUAACGGCCCACCGUGCCGAUAAUCAGUACGGGUUGUGAGAGCAAGAGCCCGGAGACGGAAUCUGAGACAAGAUUCCGGGCCCUACGGGGCGCAGCAGCCGCGAAACCUUUACACUGCACGCCAGUGCGAUAAGGGGAUCCCGAGUGCGAGGGCAUACAGUCCUCGCUUUUCGCGACCGUAAGGUGGUCGCAGAAUAAGGGCUGGGCAAGACCGGUGCCAGCCGCCGCGGUAAUACCGGCAGCCCGAGUGAUAGCCAAUUUUAUUGGGCCUAAAGCGUCCGUAGCUGGCCGAACAGGUCCGUCGGGAAAUCCACCCGCUUAACGGGUGGGCGUCCGGCGGAAACCAGUCGGCUUGGGGCCGAGAGACCAAAGGGGUACGUCCGGGGUAGGAGUGAAAUCCCGUAAUCCUGGACGGACCACCGGUUGCGAAAGCGCCUUUGGAGAACGGACCCGACAGUGAGGGACGAAACCUAGGGUCUCGAACCGGAUUAGAUACCCGGGUAGUCCUAGCCGUAAACGAUGCUCGCUAGGUGUGACGCAGGCUACGAGCCUGCGUUGCGCCGUAGGGAAGCCGAGAAGCGAGCCGCCUGGGAAGUACGUCCGCAAGGAUGAAACUUAAAGGAAUUGGCGGGGGAGCACUACAACCGGAGGAGCCUGCGGUUUAAUUGGACUCAACGCCGGACAUCUCACCGGCACCGACAACGUGCAGUGACGGUCAGUUUGAUGAGCUUACCUGAGCCGUUGAGAGGAGGUGCAUGGCCGCCGUCAGCUCGUACCGUGAGGCGUCCUGUUAAGUCAGGCAACGAGCGAGACCCGCGUCCAUAAUUGCCAGCAGCACCCUUGUGGUGGCUGGGUACAUUAUGGAGACUGCCGUCGCUAAGACGGAGGAAGGAACGGGCAACGGUAGGUCAGUAUGCCCCGAAUGUGCCGGGCGACACGCGGGCUACAAUGGCCAGGACAGUGGGACGCUACCCCGAGAGGGGACGCUAAUCUCCUAACCCUGGUCGUAGUUCGGAUUGCG
RNAcentral lists this ribosomal RNA (1149 nucleotides) under Halococcus sp. IARI-SNAK7. Its description in RNAcentral is "bacterial SSU rRNA". It matches the Rfam family "Archaeal small subunit ribosomal RNA", at positions 112 to 1258 of the family's 1478-position model. Lineage: Archaea; Methanobacteriati; Methanobacteriota; Halobacteria; Halobacteriales; Halococcaceae. The record is from RNAcentral.